AACUGUCUUUUAUCUUUGCAAACACAUAGGGCCAGAUUUAUCAUUAGCUCAGGUCAGAAUAAUGGAGUGAAAAAGUCCCAAAAAAAGUCUCAAACACUAAAACUGCACACAAAUUUGUGACUUUUUUUCUGCUCUGCACUAUGCUCGCCAGUUUUCUGAAAGUGGACGUGUUUUCUUAUGUAAAUGAAUCUCUAGACAGAUUUACUAUUGGGACUAUUUAAAAAGUCGC
Molecule: long non-coding RNA, 229 nt
Organism: Bufo bufo (common toad)
Lineage: Eukaryota; Metazoa; Chordata; Amphibia; Anura; Bufonidae
Exons: 3
Source: RefSeq, a predicted model, not a curated record